GUUAUAGGGGAUCUACGGGGUGUCUAAAAGGGAUUGGGGCCGUUAUAGGGCAUCUAUAGGGUAUCUGAAGGGGGUGGUGUGGUUAUAGGGGAUCUAUAGGGUGUCUAAAAGGGAUUGGGGUGGUUAUAGGGGAUUUGUAGGGUAUCUAAAGGGGGUUGGGGUGGUUAUAGGGUAUCUAUAGGGUGUCUGAAGGGGGGUGGGGUGGUUAUAGGGGAUCUAUAGGGUGUCUGAAGGGGAUUGGGGUGGUUAUAGGGGAUCUAUGGGGUGUCUGAAGGGGAUUGGGGUGGUUAUAGGGGAUCUGUAGAGUAUUUAAAGGGGAUUGGGGUGGUUAUAUGGCAUCUAUAGGGUAUCUGAAGGGGGGUGGGGUGGUUAUAGGGGAUCUAUGGGGUGUUUAAAAGGGUUUGGGGCAGUUAUAGGGGAUCUGUAGGGUAUCAAAAGGGGUGUGGGGUGGUUAUAGGGGAUCUAUAGGGUAUCUAAAGGGGGUGUGGGGUGGCCGGAGGGGAUCUAUGUGGGGUGUGGGGUGGCUAUAGGGGAUCUAUAGGGAUAUGGGGUGGAUAUGGGGUAUCUAUAGAAAAUCUAUGGGGGGGUGGGGAGGUGCCUAUAGGGGCAAGAGAUACCCUAUAGGAUCUGGGGGUACCUGUAGGAUCUGGGCAAUGCCUAUGGGGUUGGAUGGUGCCUAUAGGGGCAGGGGGAACCCUAUAGGAUCAAGGGUGCCCUAUAGGAUCUGUGGGAUGCUUAUGGGGUUGGGCGGUGCCUAUAGGAUCUGGGGGUGCCUAUAGGAUCUGGGUGGUGCCUAUAGGGGCAGGGGGUGCCCUAUAGGAUCUGGGGGAGCCCUACGGGAUCUGUGGGAUGCUUAUGGGGUUGGGCGGUGCCUAUAGGGACAGGGGGAGCCCUAUAGGAUCUGGGGGUACCUGUAGGAUCUGAGCAAUGCCUAUGGGGUUGGAUGGUGCCUAUAGGGGCAAGGGGAGCCCUAUGGGAUCUGGGGGAGCCCUAAAGGAUCUGUGCGAUGCUUAUGGGGUUGGGCGGUGCCUAUAGGAUCUGGGGGUGCCUAUAGGAUUUGGGCAAUGUUUAUGGGGUUGGGCCGUGCCUAUAGGGGCAGGGGGAGCCCCAUAGGAUCUAGGGGUGCCCUAUAGGAUCUGUGGGAUGCUUAUGGGGUUGGGCGGUGCCUAUAGGAUCUCGGGUACCUAUAGGAUCUGGGCAGUGCCUAUAGCGGCACAGGGAGCCCUAUAGGAUCAGGGGGUACCUAUAGGAUCUGGGCAAUCCCUAUGGGGUUGGUUGGUACCUAUAGGAUCUGGGGGUAUCUAUAGGAUCUGGGUGGUGCCUAUAGGGGCAGAGGGAGCCCCAUAGGAUCUGGGGGCAACUAUAGGAUCUGGACGAUGCUUACGGGGUUGAGCGGUGCCUAUAGGGGCAGGGGGAGCCCCAUAGGAUCUGGGGGUGCCCUAUAGGAUCUGGGCGAGGCUUAUGGGGUUGGGCGGUGCCUAUAGGGACAGGGGAUGACCAAUAGGAUCUGUGUGGUGCCUAUAGGGGCAGGCGGAGUCCUAUAGGAUCAGGGGGUGCCUAUAGGAUCUGGGCAAUGCCUAUGGGGUUUGGAAGGUGUGUAUAGGGGCAAGGGGAGCCCUAUAGGAUCUGGGGGAGCCCUUUAGGAUCUGGGGGAGCCCUAUGGGAUCUGGGGGAGCCCUAAAGGAUCUGUGCGAUGCUUAUGGGGUUGGGCGGUGCCUAUAGGAUCUGGGGGUACCUAUAGGAUCUGGGCAGUGCCUAUAGGGGCAGGGGGAGCCCUAUAGGAUCUGGAGGUGCCCUAUAGGAUCUGGGCAAUGCCUAUGGGGUUGGGCGGUGCCUAUAGGAUCUGUGGGUACCUAUAGGAUCUGGGCGAGGCUUACGGGGUUGGGCGGUGCCUAUAGGGUCAGGGGGAGCCCUAUAGGAUCUGGGGGAGCCCUAAAGGAUCUGUGCAAUGCUUAUGGG
Molecule: long non-coding RNA, 1959 nt
Organism: Gallus gallus (chicken)
Lineage: Eukaryota; Metazoa; Chordata; Aves; Galliformes; Phasianidae
Source: Ensembl